AUGUGCCAGGGAAAAGCACUAAUUCAUAUUUUUCCUUCCCCAAGAGUCUGGAAGAGGGGACAGAUAGAGCUGUUCCUGUCCCAUAGCUCCCUGGUGUGCUACCAGCCUCCUCGUUACAGAUGUGAACAGGCCACCACAGAGCUCUUCUUGAUUUGGUCUAUCACCACCAUUGUGAGAUACACUGGAAUAAUUGCCCAUCUGACGACAGGAAAACAUGCAAGCCCUUGGAAGUGGAACUUGCUUUAUACAUAUGAGAAUGGAGCAAGCAAUGCUUCCAAUAAAAGAAUUGUGAAACUAUUCCCAUCGGUGGCCUGUCCUCUACCCACAAUGGUGAUGGAGAAGACUGUUGGAUUUCCAUCAGGAGAACAAUUUGAGUGUGGACUCUACUGCCACAAAUUUAAGAAAGCUCUCCAGUUGCUGCUUGCCAAAGAAACAGGUGAUUUUUUUUUCUUUUUUUUUUUUUUUGAGAUAUUGACCAGUAAACAUGGGAAUCAACUUCAUCUGAAAUGCUUGUGUCUUAAUAUUUGUGUGACUUUCCUUCCUGCUCUAUGACUUGUUGAUUAUUUUUGAGUGCUCUAGGGCUUAAAGCAUAGUCUAUGACUGUACUAGUAUUUGUAACCUGCUGAUGUGCUCCAAGAAAAUGGGUGAGACCCAUUUUGGUGGCAGGUCUGUCAUAGGGAAGGUGUUGAACGUGGAUGUUGAGGUGCCGUGCUGUUGAUCAAACCAUUCUUAGGGAUGAAUCAACAGUGCUGUGACUUAAAGACGGAUGUAUGUCCAGGGUGAAGACCACAUUAUCAUUUAAGAAAACACUUUUCAAGUGAACCAGAAAAGCAGUGAGCAAAUGCUGGGUGAUGUGUUCAAUCCAUCCUGGAAGCAUAAUGCCAUUCCUGGACAUGGUUCUUGGUCAUGUAAAGCCAACACUUGGGCAUGCAAUUGCAUUUCUGAGAAAGAAGACAUUUUUUCCAUUAUCUUCCGAUCCAAAUGUACUCAUCUGACAAGUGAAAUUAAGUUUUAUUUUUCUGUUCCUGCUCCCAUGCUUGUGUUUGAGGCUUCCAGCCCUCAGCUACAUUUUUGCAGGCAUCUUUAAUGAGGUUGUGGAGAUGUCACUGGUAUGGCCAUGGCUUGGGUGGCAUGGAGCUCUGGAAGAACGUGAGCAGAAAGGGCUGUUUCUGCAAAGAAGGGAAAACAGCCUGGACAUAGGACAGCUGUGGUUCUGGGGCUGGAAGGCUGCAUGCAGAGCCAGAGGCAAGGCCUGACCUCUGCGUGCUGAGAUGAAAGCAAAUGUUGGUGUUUUGUGUUUGUCCCCAUCUAUGAGCAUGUGUAUAGUCUCAUGCCAUGGCUCAGCUGACAUGUGACAUCUUGCUCUGCUGUUUGAAGGUCUGAGUCUUCAAAUAUUAAAAAAGAAGAUAAAUGAAUAAAAGAAAACAAAAACAAGCA
RNAcentral lists this long non-coding RNA (1437 nucleotides) under Anser cygnoides (Swan goose). RNAcentral's name for it is "lncRNA (ENSACDG00005000387.1)". Lineage: Eukaryota; Metazoa; Chordata; Aves; Anseriformes; Anatidae. The record is from RNAcentral.